RNAcentral lists this ribosomal RNA (497 nucleotides) under uncultured bacterium. Its description in RNAcentral is "partial 16S ribosomal RNA". It matches the Rfam family "Bacterial small subunit ribosomal RNA", at positions 28 to 507 of the family's 1533-position model. The record is from RNAcentral.
GACGAACGCUGGCGGCGUGCCUAAUACAUGCAAGUAGAACGCUGAAGAGAGGAGCUUGCUCUUCUUGGAUGAGUUGCGAACGGGUGAGUAACGCGUAGGUAACCUGCCUUGUAGCGGGGAAUAACUAUUGGAAACGAUAGCUAAUACCGCAUAACAAUGGAUGACACAUGUCAUUUAUUUGAAAGGGGCAAUUGCUCCACUACAAGAUGGACCUGCGUUGUAUUAGCUAGUAGGUGAGGUAAUGGCUCACCUAGGCGACGAUACAUAGCCGACCUGAGAGGGUGAUCGGCCACACUGGGACUGAGACACGGCCCAGACUCCUACGGGAGGCAGCAGUAGGGAAUCUUCGGCAAUGGGGGCAACCCUGACCGAGCAACGCCGCGUGAGUGAAGAAGGGUUUCGGAUCGUAAAGCUCGGUUGUAAGUCAAGAACGGGUGUGAGAGUGGAAAGUUCACACUGUGACGGUAGCUUAACAGAAAGGGACGGCUAACUACGUG